Molecule: ribosomal RNA, 576 nt
Filed under: Eulimnogammarus verrucosus
Lineage: Eukaryota; Metazoa; Arthropoda; Malacostraca; Amphipoda; Eulimnogammaridae
Description: SSU rRNA
Rfam family: Eukaryotic small subunit ribosomal RNA
Source: RNAcentral
AAGAUUAAGCCAUGCAUGUCUAAGUCCAAGCUGUGUUCACACGGCGAGACCGCGGACGGCUCAUUAAAUCAGUCGUGGUCCAAAUGGGCCAGUGCAAAUCCUACUUGGAUAACUGUGGUAAUUCCAGAGCUAAUACAUGCAACUGAUAUCCCGAAGGCGGUGUUUGGGCUUGCUUGCCUUGCGCUGCGCUGCUCUGACGGAUGCUUUUAUUAGACCAAGCCGCUGAGGACUUGAGGGUUCGCGCUCUCUUGUCUGACUCGUGUGAUGGUGACUCUGGAUAACCAAAUUCUGACAAGCGCACGUACUUCUCUUCUGAGCGAGACGGCGCUGCCACUUUCGAGUGUCUGCCUUAUCAGCUAUCAACCGUUCGUUAUGCGCGACCGAUGGCUUUGACGGGUAACGGGGAAUCAGGGUUCGAUUCCGGAGAGGCAGCCUGAGAGACGGCUACCACGUCCAAGGACGGCAGCAGGCACGCAAAUUACCCAAUCCCAGCAAAUGGGGGAGGUAGUGACGAAAUCUAACGAUGCGGGCGCCCUUUCUGGGGCCCCGCAAUCGGAAUGGGCACUUUCUAAACAA